GGGCGAUUAGCUCAGCGGUAGAGCGUCCGCUUUACACGCGGAGGGUCGGGGGUUCGAACCCCUCAUCGCCCACCA
Molecule: transfer RNA, 75 nt
Filed under: Trueperaceae bacterium
Lineage: Bacteria; Thermotogati; Deinococcota; Deinococci; Trueperales; Trueperaceae
Description: tRNA-Val
Rfam family: tRNA
About the family: Transfer RNA (tRNA) molecules are approximately 80 nucleotides in length. Their secondary structure includes four short double-helical elements and three loops (D, anti-codon, and T loops).
Source: RNAcentral